Molecule: ribosomal RNA, 519 nt
Filed under: bacterium enrichment culture clone ALO1_GLFRUDD03FORKM
Lineage: Bacteria
Description: bacterial SSU rRNA
Rfam family: Bacterial small subunit ribosomal RNA
Source: RNAcentral
GAGUUUGAUCCUGGCUCAGAUUGAACGCUGGCGGCAGGCCUAACACAUGCAAGUCGAGCGGAUGACGGGAGCUUGCUCCUUGAUUCAGCGGCGGACGGGUGAGUAAUGCCUAGGAAUCUGCCUGGUAGUGGGGGACAACGUUUCGAAAGGAACGCUAAUACCGCAUACGUCCUACGGGAGAAAGCAGGGGACCUUCGGGCCUUGCGCUAUCAGAUGAGCCUAGGUCGGAUUAGCUAGUUGGUGGGGUAAUGGCUCACCAAGGCGACGAUCCGUAACUGGUCUGAGAGGAUGAUCAGUCACACUGGAACUGAGACACGGUCCAGACUCCUACGGGAGGCAGCAGUGGGGGAAUAUUGGACAAUGGGCGAAAGCCUGAUCCAGCCAUGCCGCGUGUGUGAAGAAGGUCUUCGGAUUGUAAAGCACUUUAAGUUGGGAGGAAGGGCAGUAAGUUAAUACCUUGCUGUUUUUGACGUUACCGACAGAAUAAGCACCGGCUAACCCUGUGCCAGCCGCCGCCGU